AACAGACUGCAAAGAAUAUGGGAGAGACGGGAGAUCAGCUAAGGCCCUGUUACGUUUCCUUGUCCCAGACUUACAAGGGACAACAAGCAGUACAGUCUGGCUAUCAAGUAUUUCAAGGAAGAGCUCAAGUUGAAUAGCAACAAUCCAGUUGAAGCAUGCAAGACGACUCUGAACAUAGCGGAAGUGUUAGAGAUCAAGGAGGCGGAUGUGGAAGAGAUACUGGAGGUGUACCGACAGGCCCUCAGCCUGGCUCAGACCGCCAAGGAUCACAGACUGGAGGCCAGAGCUCUGUCCUCCUUGGUGCAGGUGCUUCGAGACAACAAUCGGCUCUCUGACUCCAGAAAAUUGGAAGUUGAGUUGGAGAACCUAAGAGAAAAGUUUGGCCCUCUUUCAUCAGACUCUGAGGGUGAUGAAGAGGACGAGAAUACUCCAGAUAUUGGGGCUGAUAUUUGUAUUGAAGAA
This is a long non-coding RNA of Homalodisca vitripennis (glassy-winged sharpshooter), 462 nucleotides long. RefSeq lists it as uncharacterized. Lineage: Eukaryota; Metazoa; Arthropoda; Insecta; Hemiptera; Cicadellidae. The transcript is spliced from 3 exons. The record is from RefSeq and is a predicted model, not a curated record.